RNAcentral lists this transfer RNA (69 nucleotides) under uncultured Bulleidia sp. It matches the Rfam family "tRNA". Rfam says of the family: Transfer RNA (tRNA) molecules are approximately 80 nucleotides in length. The record is from RNAcentral. Lineage: Bacteria; Bacillati; Bacillota; Erysipelotrichia; Erysipelotrichales; Erysipelotrichaceae.
CGGCAUAGCUCAGCUGGCAGAGCAACUCAUUCGUAAUGAGUAGGUCGUUGGUUCGAAUCCGAUUGCCGG